Long non-coding RNA from Equus quagga, 908 nucleotides. RefSeq lists it as uncharacterized. Lineage: Eukaryota; Metazoa; Chordata; Mammalia; Perissodactyla; Equidae. The record is from RefSeq and is a predicted model, not a curated record. The transcript is spliced from 3 exons.
CUAAAGCCCUGGGUAUCAUUUUCAUUGGCCCAGCUUGGGUCACAUGACAAGUCCAGAUCCAAUCAUUUUGUCAAGAGGAUGCAGUAUUCUCAUCGGCCAGGAAUGGAUCAAGUGUCCACUCGUGGAGUUGGCAGUCUUCAGUAAAGUUCCUUUGAAAAGUCUCCAACCCCAUCCUCAUGGAAAGAAGGGCAAAGCCUUUGCCCAUUGAAGUGAGGCAAGAUGGCCUUGGGCUGAGCCGCCUUCAUGUGGUGGAUGGAUUGUACAGGAGGUGAUUGUACCUCUCCCUACGUUGAUGGUGUGCCUGGCAUUUGACUGCCUUUGGCCAACAGAGUGAGGAAGAAACACACACCAAUACGCCCGAUCACAGACCCAAAGCCUAAAGCAGAAGCUGCCUCAGACAACUCAGGCCCCAGGGCAAGGCACAUCAGUGAUGGUGGUCGGAAGCUCCUGAGAUGUGGGGGGAGUUGUCUGUCGUGCAGCAUCAUCACAGCAAAAUCUGACUAUCGCAGUUUGAAAAUUCAGGAGGUUUUCCGUGGAGGGAGGCCACUAUUCCUUGAAGUGAGUACUCUGAGCGGUGGCCACUCUAUAUUCUGCCAAGUUGCCCUGGGAACCCAGAAAGGCACAGCCACCAUGUUUCAACACAGCUGCUGCAUUUCAGCUCCCACCAAAGGAAGUCUCCACGGCCCCGAAGGAGUUUCAGCAUCUUUUCUGGAGCCCUGCCGUUUGCCUUACCCUCCAUCCAGGGUCUCUCAGGAUCUUUACCCGCUGUAUGACCUUGGGCCAGUCAUUUGUCCUCUCUCAGCCUUAGUUUCUUCAUCUGCAAAAGGGAACAAUACUAACCCUUAGCUUUGGGGGAACUAAUGGGGAGAAUAUGUAUAAAACACAGAGCGGCUGGUGCAGUGAAAUAG